Molecule: long non-coding RNA, 1335 nt
Organism: Pogoniulus pusillus (Red-fronted tinkerbird)
Lineage: Eukaryota; Metazoa; Chordata; Aves; Piciformes; Lybiidae
Exons: 3
Source: RefSeq, a predicted model, not a curated record
CGCGGGGAGCGAACGUGCGGGCGGCCCGGGGGCUGCAUAAGAGACGCGGCAGGAAGCGGCUCGCCACAGGGCUUGCGGGGACCCGUGCGGCUGCGGGACGGCGCAGGUGGUGGCUGCUGCUCCCUGCACGGCUCAGGUUGGGCCCCCCCCUGUACCUCUAGACAGAACCGAAGGUGAGACUGCAGAGGAGGUAAAUGAGUGCUAAAGAAGAGGGACUGGCCAGCGGGGAUGGCCUGGAUCGCCUGGGCCAGUUGUUUGGUGGCCUGGAGCCAGGCAGAGCUCAUGGUGCUGUUCCCUGCACAGGAAAUGUUUAUGGCACAGAGAGCAAAACACUUCGGCUAAAUGAGCUCCCAGAUGUGAAUGGCUUCUGUGGCUCUCUGGGCAGCUGCUGGCCUUCAGGCUGCACGUUUGUCCUCCGUGCUGUGCAAAGCUUUGGAACGAGCUCCCCUGCCCUGGCAGGGUUGGAGGAGCUGCUCUCCAGAAAGCCUCAUGGGAGCAAGCCCCAGCAGGAACCCAGUGAGGUCCUCUCUACAGCGCAGGCUCAGCAUCACCUGGGAUGAGGACUGCCAGUUCCAUGGCUCACUGGGGGUGGAUCUGGAAGCUCUGUGUUGGUGGCCUUCCCCUCCCUGCCUGGGAUGCCCCUUCCCUGCCAGGUUGUUCUCAUCUGCUCUGUCCUUGCCGUAGCCUCCAGAGAAGUCCUCACUCUCCAUUGCCCCUCUCCCUUGGAAGGAGGAGAUGUGCAAGCUGUCAGAGGCCACCUCCUCCUUUGUGGGCCCUCAGAUCCAGAUGGAGGCUGAAGAUGGGCAGAAGGCCAAGUCCACCCUGAUGUUACAAGUACUUGUUGGGAAGACAAGUGAAAACAAACCCCAGAAACCAGCAAAAAGAAACCUGACCAAUUUCAGCAGCAGUUCCCUCCCCACAGACCGAGCAGGCUGCACAGAGUGCUGCCGCAGGAGCCGUCACAGCCCCUGCCGCCACGCACAGGACUCUCUCCGGGCAGUGUCAGUGGUGCCUGAUCCAGACCUCCCCCCGUGGGGGAAGCUGAACACUUUGGAGACCCUGCACUGUCUUCCAAGGUCCUGCCUGCGUCAAGCAGUGAAGCAGUCACAGAAUGGGAGGGGCUGGAAGGGACCUUUGGAGAUCAUCCGGUCCAAGCCCCUGCCAGAGCAGCAGCACCCAGGGCAGGGCGCACAGGAACACAUCCACGAGGGUUUUGAGAGUGUACAGAGCAGGAGACUCCACAGCCUAUCUGGACAGCCUGUUCCAGGCUCACCCUCACAGUGACAAAGUUUCCCCUCUUGUUCCCCUGGCACCUCCUCUGCUCUAGCUUGCCCU